AUUGAACGCUGGCGGCAUGCCUUACACAUGCAAGUCGAACGGCAGCGCGGGGCAACCUGGCGGCGAGUGGCGAACGGGUGAGUAACAUAUCGGAACAUACCCUAGAGUGGGGAUAACGUAGCGAAAGUUACGCUAAUACCGCAUACGCACUAAGGUGGAAAGUGGGGGAUUCGCAAGAACCUCAUGCUCAUGGAGUGGCCGAUAUCUGAUUAGCUAGUUGGUGAGGCAAAGGCUCACCAAGGCGACGAUCAGUAGCUGGUUUGAGAGAACGACCAGCCACACUGGAACUGAGACACGGUCCAGACUCCUACGGGAGGCAGCAGUGGGGAAUUUUGGGACAAUGGGGGCAACCCUGAUCCAGCAAUGCCGCGUGAGUGAAGAAGGCC
RNAcentral lists this ribosomal RNA (386 nucleotides) under uncultured bacterium. RNAcentral describes it as "bacterial SSU rRNA". It matches the Rfam family "Bacterial small subunit ribosomal RNA", at positions 30 to 416 of the family's 1533-position model. The record is from RNAcentral.